Molecule: ribosomal RNA, 253 nt
Filed under: uncultured bacterium
Lineage: Bacteria
Description: partial 16S ribosomal RNA
Rfam family: Bacterial small subunit ribosomal RNA
Source: RNAcentral
UACGUAGGGGGCAAGCGUUAUCCGGAUUUACUGGGUGUAAAGGGAGCGUAGACGGCCAGACAAGUCUGAAGUGAAAAUCCAGCGCUUAACGUUGGAAGUGCUUUGGAAACUGCCGGGCUGGAGUGCAGGAGGGGCAGGCGGAAUUCCUAGUGUAGCGGUGAAAUGCGUAGAUAUUAGGAGGAACACCAGUGGCGAAGGCGGCCUGCUGGACUGCAACUGACGUUGAGGCUCGAAAGCGUGGGUAGCAAACAGG